This is a long non-coding RNA of Brassica napus (rape), 1832 nucleotides long. RefSeq lists it as uncharacterized. Lineage: Eukaryota; Viridiplantae; Streptophyta; Magnoliopsida; Brassicales; Brassicaceae. The record is from RefSeq and is a predicted model, not a curated record. The transcript has 9 exons.
CCGGAAACGCUCUUGAUGCUGCAUAGCGUAUUAGCCGUGAAGCUGAACGCCGAGGCUGUCCUGCGUCUAUCGUCUCCAACGACAAAUUCGACUCGAGUUCCUUGCCUCAUGAGGACGCUAUUCUUUUUGUUGUAUCCACUACAGGGAAAGGAGACUCUCCAGAUUCUUUUAAGGAGUUUUGGAGGUUUCUUCUUCAAAGAAACUUGGGAAACUCUUGGUUGCAACGAGUUCGCUUUGCAGUGUUUGGGCUAGGUGAUUCAGGUUACCAGAAGUACAAUUUUGUAACAAAGAAGCUAGACAAAAGAUUACUAGAUCUUGGGGCCACAACCAUCAUCGAGAAAGGUCUAGGAGAUGAUCAACACCCAUCAUGGUAUGGAACGGUAUAUUAUUGAGGAAAAUAAUGAUUCUGUAAAAUUUGAUCUUCCCUUUAUUCUUUUGUAGCACAUGAACCAUUUGAUCAGUGGAAAAUAUAGUAUCCACGUUUUUUUCCUGCUGCUUGUUUUGUACUAUAUGUCUAAGUGUUUGAAUACUAAAUUUUUGGUUUUGGUGUUUUCUUUAUUUUUGAGGUAUGAAGCAAUAUGUUGUCUUUGUGGAGUAUUUUAUAUCAAAUCAAGCCCAUAUACUUUCCUAAUGGUCCAGAAGUGGUGAUUCUUGACAUAUUUGUUGAUUGGUGUUAUUUAAGAAGGAUCAUUGAUUACUCCCUGAAAAAAAACUCGAGCUUUCAGAUUACCGGAAUUAAUACAUCGUUUUACUUCAAUCGAUGGGAACAGUGGCUGCGUGGCUUGCUACAGAGAACCCAGAUCAACUAAAACUUCUCUAAAUGAUCCACUUUCCAAUUCUGUAGCUCAAACGGUUAAGAAACCGAGCGUCUCUGAAAAUUUCUGGUCAACAAGCACAGUUGAUAUGGACAACAUCACCUUUCCUUCUCAAGGAGGAAGCAUAUCAUCCAGCUAGACUUUUGAAUCUCAAUCUGUUUCCCGAAACUCAAAUCCCCUGCCUGAGUUUGUAAACCAAGGCCUUCUUCUUUGGAAUCAGACAAGUGAGCUUUGUGUGGGAAAAGAAAGACCUAAUACAACCCACCGGAUCGCAAUCAAGGAUCCAAGAUAUAAAUUGGAACGCAGCAUCGUAUGAUAGCCUUAAGAACGCUGAAGUAAUGAGUCCACUGAUCAUCGUCUCCCAUUGUCCCCAUGAUGGAGGUCUACUUUUCUUUAUGGGACGAAGCUGCAUCAAUGUUUAGGGGUCUCCUUAAUUCAGGGGAUAGAACUUAAUCUGUCAAUGUGGUCACAAGUGUGAUCCCAAAAAAAUUGGAGGAGCUGCAUUAUGGAAUGGUGCAGUGAGAAGCAAGAAUGCCCAUUUUGUCGUACACCCAACACCCAUUCGAGUUUAUUUUGUUUGUACAACUCUGAUUUUUAAGCUCAAAUGAAGAUCAACAAGGACACAACAGUGCAAAAAUACAUGAAAAGCAAAGGAAGAUGAUAGGUCCAAAUAGUCCACACCAGCUUCUUUAGUGACAACUUGGGACGAUAACAUAUUCUACAAGAAUGACAUCUGUUUUGUCUUAAGACAUGGAAGUAAGAUCAUCAAGUACUGAGUAGACACCAAGAGAGAUUUGGGGUUGAUUAUGUUAUGAAUUAAAAUAGUGUUCACGACUCCGCGCUUGCGCUGAGCCUCUGCCCUAGUAUUUAUAGUGAACUUCUCCUUGUUUAACCACUUGCAUUUAUAUUGGCUUCCAAUCCCGAACCGGUAAUGGGUUUGAUGAUUAUUAUUACAGCCAGUUAAGACUAAUGUUAGACAAUAAAUGUAAACGUGAAAAUAUGCAUUUUUUCCGGCUA